UAGAGUUUGAUCCUGGCUCAGUACGAACGCUGGCGGCGUGCCUAACACAUGCAAGUCGAGCGGAGUUGUUGAGUAGUUUACUACAAGACAACUUAGCGGCGGACGGGUGAGUAACGCGUGGGCAACCUGCCUUUCACAGGGGGAUAACACAGGGAAACUUGUGCUAAUACCGCAUAAUAUCUAAGAAGGACAUCCUUUUUAGAUCAAAGGAGUAAUCCGGUGAAAGAUGGGCCCGCGUCCGAUUAGCUAGUUGGCGGUGUAAUGGACCACCAAGGCAACGAUCGGUAGCCGAACUGAGAGGUUGAUCGGCCACAUUGGGACUGAGACACGGCCCAGACUCCUACGGGAGGCAGCAGUGGGGAAUAUUGCACAAUGGGGGAAACCCUGAUGCAGCAACGCCGCGUGAAGGAUGAAGGUUUUCGGAUUGUAAACUUCUUUAGUCGGGGACGAAUAAAUGACGGUACCCGAAGAAUAAGCCACGGCUAACUACGUGCCAGCAGCCGCGGUAAUA
Molecule: ribosomal RNA, 511 nt
Filed under: uncultured bacterium
Lineage: Bacteria
Description: bacterial SSU rRNA
Rfam family: Bacterial small subunit ribosomal RNA
Source: RNAcentral